UCCCUAGUGGCUCAGAGGUUAAAGCGUCUGCCUCCAAUGCAGGAGACCCAGGUUCGAUCCCUGGGUCGGGAA
This 72-nucleotide transfer RNA is filed under the name Bos taurus (domestic cattle). It matches the Rfam family "tRNA". Rfam says of the family: Transfer RNA (tRNA) molecules are approximately 80 nucleotides in length. Their secondary structure includes four short double-helical elements and three loops (D, anti-codon, and T loops). RNAcentral also lists the same sequence under 2 other names. Lineage: Eukaryota; Metazoa; Chordata; Mammalia; Artiodactyla; Bovidae. The record is from Rfam by way of RNAcentral.